This 72-nucleotide transfer RNA is filed under the name Candidatus Kaiserbacteria bacterium. Its description in RNAcentral is "tRNA-Arg". It matches the Rfam family "tRNA". Rfam says of the family: Transfer RNA (tRNA) molecules are approximately 80 nucleotides in length. Their secondary structure includes four short double-helical elements and three loops (D, anti-codon, and T loops). The record is from RNAcentral. Lineage: Bacteria; Candidatus Kaiseribacteriota.
GCUCCCGUAGUUCAAUGGAUAGAACGGCCGCGUCCUAAGCGGGUAAUGUCAGUUCGAUUCUGGCCGGGAGCA